This 871-nucleotide ribosomal RNA is filed under the name Bacillus licheniformis. Its description in RNAcentral is "bacterial SSU rRNA". It matches the Rfam family "Bacterial small subunit ribosomal RNA", at positions 1 to 855 of the family's 1533-position model. The record is from RNAcentral. Lineage: Bacteria; Bacillati; Bacillota; Bacilli; Caryophanales; Bacillaceae.
GCCCCAGAGUUUUAUUUAUGGCUCCAGACGAACGCUGGCGACGUGCCUAUACAUGCAAGUCGAGCGGACAGACGGGAGCUUGCUGCGUGAGGUCAGCGGCGGACGGGUGAGUAACACGUGGGUAACUUGCUGUAAGACUGGGAUAACUCCGGGAAACCGGGGCUAAUACCGGAUGCUUGAUUGAACCGCAUGGUUCAAUCAUAAAAGGUGGCUUUCAGCUACCACUUACAGAUGGACCCGCGGCGCAUUAGCUAGUUGGUGAGGUAACGGCUCACCAAGGCGACGAUGCGUAGCCGACCUGAGAGGGUGAUCGGCCACACUGGGAAUGAGACACGGCCCAGACUCCUACGGGAGGCAGCAGUAGGGAAUCUUCCGCAAUGGACGAAAGUCUGACGGAGCAACGCCGCGUGAGUGAUGAAGGUUUUCGGAUCGUAAAACUCUGUUGUUAGGGAAGAACAAGUACCGUUCGAAUAGGGCGGUACCUUGACGGUACCUAACCAGAAAGCCACGGCUAACUACGUGCCAGCAGCCGCGGUAAUACGUAGGUGGCCAGCGUUGUCCGGAAUUAUUGGGCGUAAAGCGCGCGCAGGCGGUUUCUUAAGUCUGAUGUGAAAGCCCCCGGCUCAACCGGGGAGGGUCAUUGGAAACUGGGGAACUUGAGUGCAGAAGAGGAGAGUGGAAUUCCACGUGUAGCGGUGAAAUGCGUAGAGAUGUGGAGGAACACCAGUGGCGAAGGCGACUCUCUGGUCUGUAACUGACGCUGAGGCGCGAAAGCGUGGGGAGCGAACAGGAUUAGAUACCCUGGUAGUCCACGCCGUAAACGAUGAGUGCUAAGUGUUAGAGGGUUUCCGCCCUUUAGUGCCUUGCCCAG